RNAcentral lists this ribosomal RNA (497 nucleotides) under uncultured bacterium. Its description in RNAcentral is "partial 16S ribosomal RNA". It matches the Rfam family "Bacterial small subunit ribosomal RNA", at positions 28 to 507 of the family's 1533-position model. The record is from RNAcentral.
GAUGAACGCUGGCGGCGUGCCUAAUACAUGCAAGUCGAGCGAACAGACGAGGAGCUUGCUCCUCUGACGUUAGCGGCGGACGGGUGAGUAACACGUGGAUAACCUACCUAUAAGACUGGGAUAACUUCGGGAAACCGGAGCUAAUACCGGAUAAUAUAUUGAACCGCAUGGUUCAAUAGUGAAAGACGGUUUUGCUGUCACUUAUAAAUGGAUCCGCGCCGCAUUACCUAGUUGGUAAGGUAACGGCUUACCAAGGCGACGAUGCGUAGCCGACCUGGGAGGUGGAUCGGCCACACUGGAACUGAGACACGGUCCAGACUCCUACGGGAGGCAGCAGUAGGGAAUCUUCCGCAAUGGGCGAAAGCCUGACGGAGCAACGCCGCGUGAGUGAUGAAGGUCUUCGGAUCGUAAAACUCUGUUAUUAGGGAAGAACAAAUGUGUAAGUAACUAUGCACGUCUUGACGGUACCUAAUCAGAAAGCCACGGCUAACUACGUG